RNAcentral lists this ribosomal RNA (924 nucleotides) under uncultured Myxococcales bacterium. RNAcentral describes it as "bacterial SSU rRNA". It matches the Rfam family "Bacterial small subunit ribosomal RNA", at positions 56 to 970 of the family's 1533-position model. Lineage: Bacteria; Pseudomonadati; Myxococcota; Myxococcia; Myxococcales. The record is from RNAcentral.
UGCAGUCGAACGAGACUCCGGGGCUUGCUCCGGGGAAAAGUGGCGCACGGGUGAGUAACACGUAGGUAACGUUCCUAUUGGUCUGGAAUAACCUGCCGAAAGGCGGGCUAAUACCGGAUACGUUUCUUUGUGGUUUGCCACGAGGAAAGAAAGCGGGGCAACUCGCGCCAGAUGAUCGGCCUGCGUCCCAUCAGCUAGUUGGUGAGGUAACGGCUCACCAAGGCUACGACGGGUAGCUGGUCUGAGAGGAUGAUCAGCCACACUGGGACUGAGACACGGCCCAGACUCCUACGGGAGGCAGCAGUGGGGAAUAUUGGUCAAUGGGCGAAGGCCUGAACCAGCAAUGCCGCGUGAGUGAUGAAGGCCUUCGGGUUGUAAAGCUCUGUCGGGAGGGACGAAAAAACUCGGGUCACUCCGAGUCUUGACGGUACUUCCAAAGGAAGCACCGGCUAACUCUGUGCCAGCAGCCGCGGUAAUACAGAGGGUGCAAGCGUUGUUCGGAAUUACUGGGCGUAAAGCGCGUGUAGGCUGCAAUGUAAGUCGGAUGUGAAAGCCCUUGGCUCAACCAAGGAAGUGCAUCCGAUACUGCGUCGCUUGAGUGUCGGAGGGGGUGGCGGAAUUCCCGGUGUAGAGGUGAAAUUCGUAGAUAUCGGGAGGAACACCUGUGGCGAAGGCGGCCACCUGGACGACAACUGACGCUGAGACGCGAAAGCGUGGGUAGCAAACAGGAUUAGAUACCCUGGUAGUCCACGCUGUAAACGAUGAGUGCUAGGCGUCGCGGGUAUUGACCCCUGCGGUGCCGAAGUUAACACGAUAAGCACUCCGCCUGGGGAGUACGGUCGCAAGAUUAAAACUCAAAGGAAUUGACGGGGGCCCGCACAAGCGGUGGAGCAUGUGGUUUAAUUCGACGCAACGCGCAGAACC